RNAcentral lists this ribosomal RNA (236 nucleotides) under uncultured Actinomycetales bacterium. RNAcentral's name for it is "partial 16S ribosomal RNA". It matches the Rfam family "Bacterial small subunit ribosomal RNA", at positions 96 to 334 of the family's 1533-position model. Lineage: Bacteria; Bacillati; Actinomycetota; Actinomycetes; Actinomycetales. The record is from RNAcentral.
UGGCGAACGGGUGAGUAACACGUGGGUAAUCUGCCCUGCACUCUGGGAUAAGCCUGGGAAACUGGGUCUAAUACUGGAUAUGACCUUUCUCCUUAUGGGGUUUGGUGGAAAGUUUUUCGGUGUAGGAUGAGCCCGCGGCCUAUCAGCUUGUUGGUGGGGUGAUGGCCUACCAAGGCGACGACGGGUAGUCGGCCUGAGAGGGUGAUCGGCCACAUUGGGACUGAGAUACGGCCCAG